AUUUUUAUUAAUAUAAAUACAAUAAUUAAUAAUAAUGAACUGGAUAAAUUUGUCCAUAUCACAGAUUUGUGAUAAACUGUUAUUGUAUUUAUAUCAGUCACGACUCUCAAACACAAUUGUUCCAAUAAUGACUACAUAUCUAAAUAAAUGUAAUAGUAUUAGUUUAUUUGGAAAAAAAUUCAGCCCACAAGGGGCAACUGUCCAUCAUAAUUUAUGUAUGAGGGAAUAAUAAAAAUUAUAUCUAAAUAUAUAUUUUAUAUCUUAAUCCAUGAUAAAUGAUUUGAUUUACAUGCUAAUCUUUAAAUUUUAAAAAGAGACAUUAG
Non-coding RNA from Cinara cedri, 323 nucleotides. Lineage: Eukaryota; Metazoa; Arthropoda; Insecta; Hemiptera; Aphididae. The record is from the annotation of a GenBank genome assembly.